Molecule: long non-coding RNA, 1056 nt
Organism: Pteropus alecto (black flying fox)
Lineage: Eukaryota; Metazoa; Chordata; Mammalia; Chiroptera; Pteropodidae
Exons: 2
Source: RefSeq, a predicted model, not a curated record
GUACGGGGCCAGUGGCGCAAUGGAUAACGCGUCUGACUACGGAUCAGAAGAUUCUAGGUUCGACUCCUGGCUGGCUCGAUACGUACAUUUUGCCAGGCACCUGGCUGGAAGACCCGAGGAGGCCCAGAAUGCCUGCGGCGGAGCGGGGACUCGACUCCGGGGACGCGCCGAGACAUCUAACGCUGUGGAUUAACCACUCACUCAGUCGAUCAAUUGAUCUCUCCAGUACAACUUGUUUUCCUAUCAAGGAAAUGAUAGAAAAUUGGAAAAAUACAGAACAUUACUGGGAAUAAAAAUAAUGCGAAUUUUCAUCCCGAGAGCAUCACUAACAUCGUAAUUUUUUUUUCCUUACAGACUUUUUUUUUUCUUUCACGCUUUUUUUUUUCCUUCCAUACUUUUUCAUGUGGAUCUACCGUCACACGUAUUUUUCUGAAUUUGGGGUGGUUGAACCAGAAAUGGCUUUGUGUUCUCACUUUGUCCCCUUAGCUUUUUGCCUGAGAUUCACGGUUAUUAAAUAUUCUUUGAAGAUAUCUCAUUAGAGAACUAGAUAUUUUAAAUACUACUCUUUUGUUGGGAAUUUGAGUUGUCGGUUUGACGCUUUUUAAAAAUAACGCUGCGUUGAAUUAUUUCGGAUAUGUCAUUAAUUUCUAGAUGUGGAAUGAUCUGGUGGACUUUUUUUGUCUUUUUUUUCCCUUGCUGAUUAGUGUAACAUUUAUUUAUUUAUUUGUUUGUUUAAGGUGGACAUUUUUAAGAUCUAUUUCACCGACAUUUCUAAGAUGUGGUACAUAUUUUCAAAUUGCCCUCCAAGAAAAUUAAACCAAUACACAUGUCAAUAUCUGUUACCUUGCAUGCUAACCAACACUGAGUAUUAUAAAUUUCAUUAUGAUUUCUUUGCAAUUUUCAUAACUGAAAAAACUUCCUCUAUAUUUAUUACUUGAUGUAUAUAUUUUCUCUUGAUGUAUGUAUUCAAUGUUUCCUUAUAGAUUUGUUAGACUUUUUAAUAUAUAAAAGGAUAUGAAUUCUUUGGCUAUCAAAUACAUUACAGUCUUUUUCCAA